RNAcentral lists this ribosomal RNA (253 nucleotides) under uncultured bacterium. Its description in RNAcentral is "partial 16S ribosomal RNA". It matches the Rfam family "Bacterial small subunit ribosomal RNA", at positions 524 to 776 of the family's 1533-position model. The record is from RNAcentral.
UACGUAGGGGGCAAGCGUUGUCCGGAUUUACUGGGUGUAAAGGGAGCGUAGACGGCUUUGCAAGCCAGAUGUGAAAGCCCGGGGCUCAACCCCGGGACUGCAUUUGGAACUGUGUGGCUAGAGUGUCGGAGAGGCAGGCGGAAUUCCUAGUGUAGCGGUGAAAUGCGUAGAUAUUAGGAGGAACACCAGUGGCGAAGGCGGCCUGCUGGACGACAACUGACGGUGAGGCGCGAAAGCGUGGGGAGCAAACAGG